This 500-nucleotide ribosomal RNA is filed under the name uncultured Glomeromycotina. Its description in RNAcentral is "partial small subunit ribosomal RNA". It matches the Rfam family "Eukaryotic small subunit ribosomal RNA", at positions 591 to 1092 of the family's 1831-position model. Lineage: Eukaryota; Fungi; Glomeromycota. The record is from RNAcentral.
CCAAUAGCGUAUAUUAAAGUUGUUGCAGUUAAAAAGCUCGUAGUUGAAUUUCGGGGUUAGUAGGUUGGUCGUGCCACUGGUACGUACUGGUCUCACUGAUUCCUCCUUCCUGAUGAACUGUAAUGCCAUUAAUUUGGUGUUGCAGGGAAACUGGACUGUUACUUUGAAAAAAUUAGAGUGUUUAAAGCAAGCUAACGCUUGAAUACAUUAGCAUGGAAUAAUGAAAUAGGACGUUCGAUCCUAUUUUGUUGGUUUCUAGGAUUGACGUAAUGAUUAAUAGGGAUAGUUGGGGGCAUUAGUAUUCAAUUGUCAGAGGUGAAAUUCUUGGAUUUAUUGAAGACUAACUACUGCGAAAGCAUUUGCCAAGGAUGUUUUCAUUAAUCAAGAACGAAAGUUAGGGGAUCGAAGACGAUCAGAUACCGUCGUAGUCUUAACCGUAAACUAUGCCGACUAGGGAUCGGAUGAUGUUAAUUUUUUAAUGACUCAUUCGGCGCCUUACG